This 1412-nucleotide long non-coding RNA is filed under the name Malus domestica (apple). Its description in RNAcentral is "long non-coding RNA (MDOM_LNC005786)". The record is from RNAcentral. Lineage: Eukaryota; Viridiplantae; Streptophyta; Magnoliopsida; Rosales; Rosaceae.
AAUUGUUUUGAAAAACCCAAAAAGAGUUGUUUUUGUAUGUUUAUUUGUGUUUUAAGGUACCUUCCAACACAAUGAUGAGGAUUUGGUUUAUAAUUGCAUGACUGUUAAAGAGAGUUAUAAACAUGAAUGAAAAUUUGAUUUACUCUUUGGUGUAUGCUUGGUUGUGGUUAUAAUUUAUGAAUUCACAUGCAAUCAUAAAGGAAAAAUCAGCUAUGUAACAUGCUUGAAAGAAGGAACUCAAAUGUACGCUACAACCUUGUGAGACUUGAGCCUAAACGUUUAUUUUGAGAGUUAAUAAUCUGUGCAUCAUUGUUUUCUAAAGUCGUUGCAUGAUCUCAUUAUUCUUUGCUUGGUUGCUACUUAGAAGGCGUUUCAUCAGUUAGUUCCAAAUGCUAGAACUCAUGCCUAUUUCAUUCAAAGCAUGUUAUUGAUUUGCAUAAUACAUAUUCAAGAUGAAGUUGUGUAGUGACCACCACAGCCAAAUUGUCGUGCCCUAUUUCAUUAUGUGUUUAAGUUUAACCCCAUUGAGCCUUGUGUAGCCUAUGUUCUUUGUUAACCCACACUAUCCUCACCUAGCCUAGAUUAGGACCAUCCAUACCCUUGUUCUUGAAGCAUAGUAAAACAUAAUUUAGAAGGAAUUCCUUUUGUUGAACUUUUGCAGAAAAACAAGUGUGGGGGAAGUGAUUCUUGUGUGUGUGUGUGUGUCAAAGUCCUUAAUAAGGCACGGGUAGAAAAGAAAAAGAAAAAAAAACAUUCGUGGAAAAUAGAAUGAAAAGAAGAAAAGUUGUAAAAAAGAGCCCUAAGUGUUGCAUGAAUCUUCCCUUUGUAUUUAAAAGUUGAUUCUGCAUUCUAAAGUGAAUUCCAAAGUGUCUAUUUCAUUGCUUUGCUUGCUAUCGCUUUAGGAACAUUUGUUAUUCCUAUCCUUUCUUUAUUAGCCAAUACCCCAAGCCCUGUUACAACCCUUGACUUCUAUCUUGAGUUUUAUGUGUUUCAAUUUGUGGAGUUUGAAUUUGGUAUGAGCAUAUGGUGUCACUCGUUCUCGCAUCUAAGUAGUAGCAUUCCAUUCAUGAGAUCAUAUCUAAACAUGCUUAUUAAUACCAGAAAAUGCUUUCUUGUUAUACAUAUAUGUGAUUACUAGUUUCCAUGUUUACAUCAAUCUUCUCACAUGUACCUAGUAUAGGGUGUGUAGUCAGAAAAUCUGAGUGAAAAUUGAGUGCAUAUCUUGUAAGGAAUUGAACAAAUUCUCUAAGGCAUGUUACUACAUUCAAAACAUCGUUUUAAUUGGUUAAAUGUGAACUAGUAAGUGGUGACUAUGAUUAAGUAUGUGCUCAAGUGUUAAGUUAACUAAAAUCUGUGGGAAUGAUGAUUUUUAACUUGUCAUGUGCGUUGGAAAUCCUUGAGGCAAACGAUGG